This is a long non-coding RNA of Manis pentadactyla (Chinese pangolin), 1015 nucleotides long. RefSeq lists it as uncharacterized. The transcript has 2 exons. NCBI's taxonomy places the organism in Eukaryota, Metazoa, Chordata, Mammalia, Pholidota, Manidae. The record is from RefSeq and is a predicted model, not a curated record.
UCCUCCUUCUUCUGUGAUGGCCCUGGGGGACCCCAGGUCCUAAGGAACACAGCUUGAAAUCACUGGGUCAGGUGCAAUCCACAUUCCCUUCCAUCUCCAGCCUAAGGGACUCUGUAAUUCAUGCUGGGAGCUAGUGAAGAAUGUCAGGGUAAACUGGGAACCAAAGUGAUUCUUGUAGCCAAGGCAGGUGACCGGACUACAUGGGAAGUUGGCCAAGUGUAGAGUUGGGGUAUUCACAAAGUUAAGCAGGCACAACCUGCAGCUGUCCACAGAGAAUUCAUCCCUCGGGUAAGUUUGUGUGCCACUGGGCCUCAGUUUCCUCAUCUUUAAAAUGAAGUUAUUAAAUCUUGCUUACAGAAGAACCCCAGACAGUGUAUGGACAUACUCCCUCCUCCCAGAGGCAGAGCAUCAUUCCCUUCCACUUGAAUGGGGGCUAAACUUCCUGACUCACUUCUAACAGGAAAGGGAAAACGAACUUUCCAGUGCAGAAAUGAGGCCAGCACCACCUUACCCAUGCGCUCAAGGUUAAUGUCACCAGUGAGGGCCGAAACUCUGAGCACCCGUUGAAGAAGAAAGCAGAGCCCCUCUUCCUGCGCCCUCAUGCCAGCCUUGCAUUCAGCCAGCUUCACAGGGAGCUGUGGUGAGUCCACCAGCCUCAGCUCAGUCUUACCGCUCUGCCCCAGUUCCUUCUGUAAAGUGCAGAUCAGCCACUCUCAGUUCCCUACACAGUUGUGUAGGGACACACAGCAAAACUGUACCCUAAGGAAUCUUUAAAAUGCUAGCAAAUAGACAUUAUCAUCACCAGCCACCACCCAUCACAACCAUAAUGAACUUCUUGAAGCCUCAGUAAAGGGCCCUUUAGCCACUAGGAGCCUGGGGAGAAGAUGAUAGUAAUGUGGCCAGGGACAAGGGGAGGGGAGAAAGUUUUAAGCGGUCAUUGAUAUAUCAAACAUUCAACAGAUUAUUCUAUGUGGCUUACAUGCAUUCAAUAAAUGUGAUAAAUCAAUCUGCCAAC